RNAcentral lists this ribosomal RNA (254 nucleotides) under uncultured bacterium. Its description in RNAcentral is "partial 16S ribosomal RNA". It matches the Rfam family "Bacterial small subunit ribosomal RNA", at positions 524 to 776 of the family's 1533-position model. The record is from RNAcentral.
UACAGAGGUCUCAAGCGUUGUUCGGAUUCAUUGGGCGUAAAGGGUGCGUAGGCGGCGCGGUAAGUCGGGUGUGAAAUCUCGGAGCUUAACUCCGAAAACUGCAUUCGAUACUGCCGUGCUUGAGGACUGGAGAGGAGACUGGAAUUUACGGUGUAGCGGUGAAAUGCGUAGAUAUCUGGAGGAACACCGGUGGCGAAGGCGGCAUCCUGGACCGGUAUUGACGCUGAGGCGCGAAAGCCAGGGGAGCAAACGGG